This 506-nucleotide ribosomal RNA is filed under the name uncultured bacterium. Its description in RNAcentral is "partial 16S ribosomal RNA". It matches the Rfam family "Bacterial small subunit ribosomal RNA", at positions 28 to 523 of the family's 1533-position model. The record is from RNAcentral.
GAUGAACGCUAGCUACAGGCUUAACACAUGCAAGUCGAGGGGUAACAAGAGAAAAGCUUGCUUUUCUUGUUGACGACCGGCGCACGGGUGAGUAACGCGUAUCCAACCUGCCUAUAACUAGGGAAUAACCUUGCGAAAGUAAGACUAAUACCCUAUGAUUUCCUUUGAUGACAUCAGAUUAGGAAUAAAGAUUUAUCGGUUAUAGAUGGGGAUGCGUCUGAUUAGCUUGUUGGCGGGGUAACGGCCCACCAAGGCAACGAUCAGUAGGGGUUCGGAGAGGAAGGUCCCCCACAUUGGAACUGAGCCACGGUCCAAACUCCUACGGGAGGCAGCAGUGAGGAAUAUUGGUCAAUGGGCGGAAGCCUGAACCAGCCAAGUAGCGUGCAGGAUGACGGCCCUAUGGGUUGUAAACUGCUUUUAUACAGGAAUAAAGUUAGCCACGUGUGGUUAUUUGUAGGUACUGUAUGAAUAAGGACCGGCUAAUUCCGUGCCAGCAGCCGCCGUAA